GGCGUCAAUGCACACGCCAUCAUUUCGGCAGUCUGCGCCUAUAUGCGAAAGUAUAUACGUGACUGUCAAGUUUACCUUAAAUAAAUUAAAAUGCUCAAAAUAAGCGUAUGCUUGAAUAUCAUAUUAUGGAAUAAUGAAAUAGGACUUCGGUUCUUUUUGUUGGUUAUUGAAUCGGAGUAAUGAUUAAUAGGGAUAAUCUCGGGGGCAUUCGUAUUUCUGCGGGAGAGGUGAAAUUCUAUGAUCGCAGAAGGACGCCCUAAAGCGAAAGCAUUUGCCAAGAAUGUCUUCGUUAAUCAAGAACGAAAGUCAGAGGAUCGAAGGCGAUUAGAUACCGCCCUAGUUCUGACCGUAAACGAUACCAUCUAGCGAUCCGAUAGGGUCUAUCUAGCCUUGUCGGGGAGCUUCCCGGAAACGAAAGUCUUUCGGUUCCGGGGGUAGUAUGGUUGCAAAGCUGAAACUUAAAGAAAUUGACGGAAGGGCACCACCAGGAGUGGAGCUUGCGGCUUAAUUUGACUCAACACGGGAAAACUCACCCGGUCCGGACACCGUAAGGAUUGACAGACUGAUAGCUCUUUCUUGAUUCGGUGGUUGGUGGUGCAUGGCCGUUCUUAGUUGGUGGAGUAAUUUGUCUGGUUUAUUCCGAUAACGAGCGAGACUCUAGCCUGCUAAAUAGAACGAGGAUAAACCUUUUCAUAGGUCCUCGAUGCUUCUUAGAGGAAUUAGCGG
Molecule: ribosomal RNA, 726 nt
Filed under: uncultured eukaryote
Lineage: Eukaryota
Description: SSU rRNA
Rfam family: Eukaryotic small subunit ribosomal RNA
Source: RNAcentral